RNAcentral lists this ribosomal RNA (397 nucleotides) under uncultured bacterium. RNAcentral's name for it is "bacterial SSU rRNA". It matches the Rfam family "Bacterial small subunit ribosomal RNA", at positions 29 to 416 of the family's 1533-position model. The record is from RNAcentral.
AACGAACGCUGGCGGCGCGCCUAACACAUGCAAGUCGAACGAGAAGGCGUAGCAAUACGCUUGUAGAGUGGCGAACGGGUGAGUAAUACGUGGGUGACCUACCCUCGAGUGGGGAAUAACCCGCCGAAAGGCGGGCUAAUGCCGCGUACGCUUCCGUCCUCACGGGGACGGAAGGAAAGCUGUACCGUGGGUACGGCGCUCAAGGAUGGGCUCACGUCCUAUCAGCUUGUUGGUAGGGUAACGGCCUACCAAGGCUACGACGGGUAGCUGGUCUGAGAGGACGAUCAGCCACGCUGGCACUGCGACACGGGCCAGACUCCUACGGGAGGCAGCAGUGAGGAAUAUUGCGCAAUGGGCGAAAGCCUGACGCAGCGACGCCGCGUGGGGAGUGAAGGCC